This 27-nucleotide non-coding RNA is filed under the name Rattus norvegicus (Norway rat). Lineage: Eukaryota; Metazoa; Chordata; Mammalia; Rodentia; Muridae. The record is from RNAcentral.
UGAUAGUUGAGGCAUACUUAUUUGCAU